RNAcentral lists this ribosomal RNA (548 nucleotides) under uncultured prokaryote. Its description in RNAcentral is "bacterial SSU rRNA". It matches the Rfam family "Bacterial small subunit ribosomal RNA", at positions 355 to 896 of the family's 1533-position model. The record is from RNAcentral.
UGGGGAAUUUUGGACAAUGGGCGAAAGCCUGAUCCAGCCAUGCCGCGUGAGUGAAGAAGGCCUUCGGGUUGUAAAGCUCUUUCAGCCGGAAAGAAAACGCAUGGGUUAAUAACCUGUGUGGAUGACGGUACCGGAAGAAGAAGCACCGGCUAACUACGUGCCAGCAGCCGCGGUAAUACGUAGGGUGCGAGCGUUAAUCGGAAUUACUGGGCGUAAAGCGUGCGCAGGCGGUUUUGUAAGACAGAUGUGAAAUCCCCGGGCUUAACCUGGGAACUGCAUUUGUGACUGCAAGGCUAGAGUACGGCAGAGGGGGGUAGAAUUCCACGUGUAGCAGUGAAAUGCGUAGAUAUGCGGAGGAACACCGAUGGCGAAGGCAAUCCCCUGGGCCUGCACUGACGCUCAUGCACGAAAGCGUGGGGAGCAAACAGGAUUASAUACCCUGGUAGUCCACGCCCUAAACGAUGUCAACUGGUUGUUGGGUCUUCACUGACUCAGUAACGAAGCUAACGCGUGAAGUUGACCGCCUGGGGAGUACGGCCGCUAAGUUG